Molecule: long non-coding RNA, 482 nt
Filed under: Setaria viridis
Lineage: Eukaryota; Viridiplantae; Streptophyta; Magnoliopsida; Poales; Poaceae
Description: long non-coding RNA (SVIR_LNC010905)
Source: RNAcentral
UAGGAGACCCGUAUGUGGGUGUUGGCGACCCAUAUGUUGGCGUUGGGGGAUGGUACUCUGGCUGAGGCUUGGGCUCUGGUUUGGGCUGCGGCUUAGGUUCCGGCUUCGGCUUUGGCGGUAUGGGCUUCUUGUGGAAGUGGUCGAAGAAGUGGUGGUGGUCAUGGUCCUUGUGGAAGUGACCAAGCAACUUGGCAAACAAGUGCCUAGCUGGAGGGUGGUAGAUCGGUGUCGGAGACCCGUAUGUUGGUGUUGGGGGAUGGUACUCUGGCUGAGGCUUAGGCUCUGGCUUCGGCUGCGGCUUAGGUUCCGGCUUCGGCUUCGGCGGCAUGGGCUUCUUGUGGAAAUGGUCAAAGAAGUGGUGGUGGUCGUGGUUCUUAUGGAAGUGAUCAAACAAGUGCUUCUUGUCGAACAACUGCCUUGCUGGAGGAUGGUAGAUCGGAGUUGGGGAUCCAUAUGUGGGCAUUGGUGAUCCAUACGUCGGU